This is a long non-coding RNA of Drosophila pseudoobscura, 498 nucleotides long. RefSeq lists it as uncharacterized. NCBI's taxonomy places the organism in Eukaryota, Metazoa, Arthropoda, Insecta, Diptera, Drosophilidae. The record is from RefSeq and is a predicted model, not a curated record. The transcript has 2 exons.
GUUGACCUUUUUCUCUCCCAAAAAACGCUGGCUAUACCCUUCAUUGGCUGGAGUAUAUCCCGACCUGAUUGGCAGUCAACGAACCCUCAUCAGGAUGCUACUUCCUUAUAAAAAACAGCUUUUUUCUCUGGGGUUUUGCCUUCGUAUGGAUGAUUUGUGUUUCUGAUUUCGUUGAGAACAUUAUUCUUCAAUUAAUUAAAUCAGAGCAGAGACCAUAAAACACUCGUAUGCAAAAAGCCACGAUAAUGAGAUGACGACGAGGGGUCAGGGGACGACAAUAAACCCGUAAACAAGGCACAGCAGAAAAGAGCAGAGAGGAAAGAACUCUGGGCUGCCAUUAAGGAAGUGCUGGAAGUACUGAAGGAGGUCCACAACGAACCCCUCAAAUACCCUUUAACGAACACCAAAAAACCACCCUUAACAGACUCAACGUUCAAUCUCGGUAAGGCACAAGGCAUGCAUUUUGUUUGCGAGGAAUAAAAGCAGUUGGAAACGAGA